GAUGAACGCUGGCGGCGUGCCUAAUACAUGCAAGUCGAGCGAACAGACGAGGAGCUUGCUCCUCUGACGUUAGCGGCGGACGGGUGAGUAACACGUGGAUAACCUACCUAUAAGACUGGGAUAACUUCGGGAAACCGGAGCUAAUACCGGAUAAUAUAUUGAACCGCAUGGUUCAAUAGUGAAAGACGGUUUUGCUGUCACUUAUAGAUGGAUCCGCGCCGCAUUAGCUAGUUGGUAAGGUAACGGCUUACCAAGGCAACGAUGCGUAGCCGACCUGAGAGGGUGAUCGGCCACACUGGAACUGAGACACGGUCCAGACUCCUACGGGAGGCAGCAGAAGGGAAUCUUCCGCAAUGGGCGAAAGCCUGACGGAGCAACGCCGCGUGAGUGAUGAAGGUCUUCGGAUCGUAAAACUCUGUUAUUAGGGAAGAACAAAUGUGUAAGUAACUAUGCACGUCAUGACGGUACCUAAUCAGAAAGCCACGGCUAACUACGUG
RNAcentral lists this ribosomal RNA (497 nucleotides) under uncultured bacterium. RNAcentral describes it as "partial 16S ribosomal RNA". It matches the Rfam family "Bacterial small subunit ribosomal RNA", at positions 28 to 507 of the family's 1533-position model. The record is from RNAcentral.